UACAGAGGAGCCAAGCGUUGUCCGGAUUGACUGGGCGUAAAGCGCACGCAGGCGGUUUCGCGCGUGGGGUGUGAAAUCUGGCCGCUUAACGGCCAGGCGCCAUCCCAUACGGCGCGACUGGAGUGAUGCAGAGGUCGAUGGAAUUGCCGGUGUAGUGGUGAAAUUCGUAGAUAUCGAGAGGAACACCGGUGGCGAAGGCGGCCUGCUGGACGAUGACUGACGCUGAGACGCGAAAGCGUGGGGAGCAAACAGG
Molecule: ribosomal RNA, 253 nt
Filed under: uncultured bacterium
Lineage: Bacteria
Description: partial 16S ribosomal RNA
Rfam family: Bacterial small subunit ribosomal RNA
Source: RNAcentral